UAUCUUGGAGCAGCAGUUAUUUCCCCCUCCUUUUGACUACAGUGGUUGGAGUCAGUAGGUAGUGAUUAGAGUAAGUAGGUAAUACUUUUCAUUGGAAUAUAACUUGCAAGUUGAUGGAUUCAGAACCUUUGUGCUAUGAAAUACAGUUACAGUAGGAGAUUCAGACACUGUUCUUGUGAUUAUGUGAUUAUGCCACUGGACUAUUGCCAUUUCCCAUUAAAAUUAGUUAGGAAUUUUGUAUAUUUAGGCGGUGUAUGCCACCGUAUUGAAUGGACAUCUUGGAAAAGCAAAAUUGGCUCAAUUUGGAAGGAUGGUUGCUUUAUAUGAAUUUUUUGCCUGCUUUGCACGCAUUGCCACAUGUGCAUUCCCAUGCCUCAUCCAUAAUCAUUGUCGACAAAUAUUGCAGUCACCUUUAGCAUGGAACAGAAUAAGUAUGGCCCCUAUUUUAGUUCUCUCUGUCAUGUUCGCGUGCACAACCUAUUUUGCCAAUGAGCAAGUUUAGCAUCUGUUUGUUGGUUGCCUGGUUCUUAUUGUUGUCCUAGCUGUCUAGUUUUUCUUAUUGUUGUCCUAGCUGUCUAGUUAGUACCAGAACUCUGUUAGAGUAAAGCUAGAUGUGACACCUGUUACGGUAUUGUUACCCAACAGACUUAGGCCUAGAUUUAUUAGUUGUAAAUUUGUUACCUCAAUGUAUCGCAUUACAUUCGAAGCAAAACACGAGCUGCAAUGUACCAACUCUUGUCAGAUGUCUAUAUCAGUAUAAAAUGGUACAUGGUGUUCUUGAUGCUAUUCUUUCUUCUUUUCUGCAGGAGAGGCUGACAUUUGACAAUACGGUUCUGUGUGUGCAUUGACUGCUGGUGCUGCAGCCUGUAAUUUUUCUUGUGGAGUGGACCGAAGUAAUCCAUCAAGCUAGCUGCAUUAUUGAUUCUGUUCCUUUUGCUGGCGAGGUAAUAAUGUCCCACUCAACUCGUGAUGUGAGACAUAGUAGUGUAACCAUGAUAUUUACAUCAUUG
This 1010-nucleotide long non-coding RNA is filed under the name Triticum aestivum (bread wheat). Its description in RNAcentral is "long non-coding RNA (TAES_LNC005798)". The record is from RNAcentral. Lineage: Eukaryota; Viridiplantae; Streptophyta; Magnoliopsida; Poales; Poaceae.